UACGUAGGUGGCAAGCGUUGUCCGGAAUUAUUGGGCGUAAAGCGCACGUAGGCGGUUUGUUAUGUCGGAUGUGAAAGCCCUUGGCUCAACUGAGGAAGUGCAUCCGAAACUGGCAAGCUAGAGUAUGUAAGAGGGUCGCGGAAUUCCCGGUGUAGAGGUGAAAUUCGUAGAUAUCGGGAGGAACACCGGUGGCGAAGGCGGCGACCUGGGACAAUACUGACGCUGAGGUGCGAAAGCGUGGGGAGCAAACAGG
RNAcentral lists this ribosomal RNA (253 nucleotides) under uncultured bacterium. Its description in RNAcentral is "partial 16S ribosomal RNA". It matches the Rfam family "Bacterial small subunit ribosomal RNA", at positions 524 to 776 of the family's 1533-position model. The record is from RNAcentral.